GCUUCUUCAAGGUGCGUUUGCUCUCUAGAGGAUGCUCGUCUCUAUAUUAGGUUGCUGGGAUAUGAUAGUAGAUAACUUGUGUAUGGAGAAUUUGAUUAUCUGAUUAGUGCAUGAAGAUUUGAAAGGAAUAAAAUCCUAAAUUUGGAUUUGGUACUUUUGAUUAAUCCUCUUUUAUUUGCUGAGAAAAUGCGGGAAGAGUUUUUAUUUUCACGCUUUUCUUCUCUUAGAUUCAAAGUUUGUUUUUGGUAUUAUGGUUGGUAUUUAUAGUUUCUAAGGAAUAGACAAAUGCUAAUUAACUGUGAAAAUAUUGAUAUAUGGGUGAAUUUUCUUUUUCUUCUUUGGGUUUAAUGUAUUUAUGAAUGUGAUUAGCAUUUAUUUAUUUUUCAGCAUUUUACUGUGAAUUGGUUUAUUGUGAAAGUGUUUAGCUUUUUUUAUGUCAUAAUUGAUUUGUUAUUUGAAUGGGAAAUUGUGAGAAUGGACUAAGAUUUUGAAGAGCCUUUUUUUUUUUUU
This 510-nucleotide unclassified non-coding RNA is filed under the name Hevea brasiliensis (rubber tree). The record is from RNAcentral. Lineage: Eukaryota; Viridiplantae; Streptophyta; Magnoliopsida; Malpighiales; Euphorbiaceae.